ACACUUUUUUUGAGAACCAGUGGUUAAACUGGCUAGGGGAAGUGUAGACAGACCCUAAUGUUUUCCACCAAUUUUGCACAAGCACUCCACCUGCUUUUCACACCUCCACAUAGAGGAUCCGUUUUGACCAAACCCAGAACUUGGUUCAUUCUGAAUUAUGCUUGGUAGAUAGGGAUCAGCAUUACAGCCCCAUUCAGGAGCAGCUACAAACGAACCCAAAAGCCUAGGCUCCAACUAAUGAAGGUUGAUCCAGCUACUGCUGCCUCUGAAUAUACAACCUGACAGCAACAAAGACCAAGGUUAAAUCUGCAUGCAUCAAGAAGAAAGUUGAUGUCUUAAUUUACAAGAAGCUUGGAGGACAUAUUCAAUCCAGAAAAAUUGAAAGUGGGAUCUUGGUUUGAGUUCAUCAUAAUUGCCACCCAAAAGACCACUUCUUUAAGCUCAUGUCUUGCCUCAAAGGCAUUGAGCUCACAUUACACCAGCCCAAGCCAGGAAGGUUCUGUCAACCCAUCUAUCAGCUUUUAUGGGGUGAGGACCUCUGGGAACAUGGAAACCACUC
Molecule: long non-coding RNA, 559 nt
Organism: Rhinopithecus roxellana (golden snub-nosed monkey)
Lineage: Eukaryota; Metazoa; Chordata; Mammalia; Primates; Cercopithecidae
Exons: 3
Source: RefSeq, a predicted model, not a curated record